CCGGCGGCGGCGCGGGGGCGGGGCCUUGUGGACGCACGCACGUCAAGGCGCUGCUAGCCGGAGCCGCAGAGGCUGCGGGCUUGGUCUGCGGCGGCUGCUGUGGCGGCGUCCCGGCCCGCGGCUCGAGUUUCAGGACCACUGAUAGCGCCAAUUGUCUUCCAUACCCGGCAACAAGCCAGCCCUAAAAGGAAACCUUCAUUGGCACAUGCAUGAGAAGCUUGAACAGAUGGAAGAACGUAAUUAGUCUGGAAGAUUGAAGAGAAAUCCAGGUCCUCAGCUGACUGCUACUUUCUGCCACCAUGGGGGAACUUUUCCGGAGUGAGGAGAUGACACUGGCCCAGCUUUUUCUACAGUCAGAAGCUGCUUAUUGUUGCGUCAGUGAAUUAGGAGAACUCGGAAAGGUUCAGUUUCGUGAUUUAAAUCCAGACGUGAAUGUUUUCCAGCGGAAAUUUGUGAAUGAAGUUAGAAGAUGUGAAGAAAUGGAUCGAAAGCUUCGAUUUGUUGAGAAAGAGAUAAGAAAAGCUAAUAUUCCAAUUAUGGACACUGGCGAAAACCCAGAGGUGCCCUUCCCUCGGGACAUGAUUGACUUAGAGGCCAAUUUUGAGAAGAUUGAAAAUGAACUGAAGGAAAUCAACACAAACCAGGAAGCUCUGAAGAGGAACUUCCUGGAACUGACGGAAUUAAAAUUUAUACUUCGCAAAACUCAGCAGUUUUUCGAUGAGGCUGAAUUGCAUCAUCAGCAGAUGGCGGAUCCAGAUCUGUUGGAAGAGUCCUCGUCCCUCUUGGAGCCAAGUGAGAUGGGAAGAGGCACACCUUUAAGACUUGGCUUCGUGGCUGGUGUGAUUAACCGGGAGCGCAUCCCUACUUUUGAGCGCAUGCUUUGGCGGGUGUGCCGGGGGAAUGUAUUCCUGCGACAGGCUGAAAUCGAGAACCCCCUGGAGGAUCCUGUGACUGGUGACUACGUGCACAAAUCUGUGUUCAUCAUUUUCUUCCAAGGCGAUCAGCUGAAAAACAGAGUCAAGAAAAUCUGUGAAGGGUUCCGAGCCUCACUGUAUCCCUGUCCUGAGACGCCACAGGAGAGGAAGGAAAUGGCUUCUGGAGUUAAUACCAGGAUUGACGAUCUCCAAAUGGUUCUGAAUCAAACAGAAGAUCACCGCCAGAGGGUUCUGCAGGCAGCUGCUAAGAACAUCCGUGUCUGGUUCAUCAAAGUACGGAAGAUGAAGGCCAUCUAUCAUACUCUGAACCUCUGCAAUAUAGAUGUAACCCAGAAGUGUCUGAUUGCGGAGGUCUGGUGCCCCGUCACUGACCUCGACUCCAUCCAGUUUGCACUCAGAAGGGGCACGGAACACAGUGGCUCCACCGUGCCCUCCAUUUUGAACAGGAUGCAGACAAACCAGACUCCCCCAACCUAUAACAAAACGAACAAGUUCACUUAUGGCUUUCAGAACAUAGUAGAUGCUUAUGGAAUUGGAACUUACCGAGAGAUAAAUCCAGCUCCGUACACCAUCAUCACUUUCCCUUUCCUGUUUGCUGUGAUGUUUGGGGACUUUGGCCAUGGCAUUUUGAUGACUCUUUUUGCUGUAUGGAUGGUGUUAAGGGAGAGCCGGAUCCUCUCCCAAAAGAAUGAGAAUGAGAUGUUUAGCACUGUGUUCAGUGGCCGAUACAUAAUUCUGUUGAUGGGUGUGUUCUCUAUCUACACUGGCCUGAUCUACAAUGAUUGCUUUUCCAAGUCUCUUAAUGUCUUCGGGUCAUCCUGGAGUGUGCGGCCGAUGUUCACUCUAUAUAAUUGGACGGAGGAGACACUUCGGGGGAACCCUGUUCUCCAGCUGAACCCAGCUGUCCCUGGAGUUUUUGGUGGACCAUACCCUUUUGGCAUCGAUCCAAUUUGGAACAUUGCUACCAAUAAACUGACCUUCCUCAACUCCUUUAAGAUGAAGAUGUCCGUUAUCCUAGGUAUCAUCCACAUGAUGUUUGGAGUCAGCCUGAGCCUCUUCAACCAUAUCUAUUUCAAGAAGCCUCUCAAUAUCUACUUUGGAUUUAUUCCUGAAAUCAUCUUCAUGACCUCUUUGUUUGGCUACUUGGUUAUCCUUAUUUUUUACAAGUGGACAGCCUAUGAUGCUCAUACGUCAAAGAAAGCGCCAAGCCUUCUGAUCCAUUUCAUAAACAUGUUCCUCUUUUCCUAUUCAGACUCUGGUAAUUCGAUGCUGUAUUCUGGACAGGAAGGAAUUCAGUGUUUCUUGGUAGUGGUUGCACUACUGUGUGUACCUUGGAUGCUACUGUUUAAACCACUGGUCCUUCGCCAUCAGUACUUGAGGAGGAAGCAUUUGAAUGUCACAUUAAAGCCCAGGCAAAUUCGACUCUUUCUGUUCAUCUGUGUAGGGAACUCUCAACUUUGGUGGGAUCAGGGUGGGCAACGGACCGACAGAGGAGGAUGCUGAGAUUAUUCAGCAUGACCAGCUCUCCACCCAUUCAGAGGACGCAGAAGAGUUUGACUUUGGGGACACCAUGGUCCACCAGGCCAUCCACACCAUCGAGUACUGCCUGGGCUGCAUCUCCAACACUGCCUCCUACCUGCGGCUCUGGGCCCUCAGCCUCGCUCAUGCACAGCUGUCUGAGGUGCUUUGGACCAUGGUGAUCCACAUCGGCCUCAGCGUGAAGAGCUUGGCGGGAGGUUUGGCACUGUUCUUCAUCUUCGCCGCCUUUGCCACCCUGACUGUGGCCAUCCUUCUGAUCAUGGAGGGUCUCUCGGCCUUCCUGCACGCACUGCGGUUACACUGGGUUGAGUUCCAGAAUAAAUUCUACAGUGGAACCGGUUUCAAGUUCCUCCCCUUCUCCUUCGAGCAUAUUCGGGAGGGGAAGUUUGACGAGUGAGCCCUCGCGGGGCUCUGUGCCUGGCGCUCUGCCUGCUCCCUCCAUGGUGAUUAGCCGUGCUCCUCUUGCCUGUUGGUUGUGAUCCCUGGGUAUCGGGGCAUUUGUGUCAUCCCUGCCACCCCUCCACCAGCCGCCUGUGAGUCGUUUAGAUAGAUCCGGCCUCCCUGGGUCCCCCAGAUUCCCAGCUGUGUGUGUAGUAUAGUGAUUUUCUCUAGAGAAGUUGGGCUCUGGUUGUCACUCACCCCUGGGCACCAGCCUUGCCCUCCUGGCCUCCCUCCAGUCAAAGACAGCCCCUUCUCUGCUUCCUGGUGGUGAACGGUUUGUGCAUUUACACGUGAGCCCAAAGCCCAUGGGAGGAGCGCCUUCGCCAUCCACACCCAGACUUGGAGCCCCUGUUCUUGCCACUCUAGUCACUGUUUGGGGGUGGGGUGCUCUUUAACACACCCCAUUCUUGGGUUAGCAGGGGCGGGUCCAGGAAGAUGGUAUUUCUGUCCUCUGCCCACCCCCCUCUGGUGUUCAGAGCACUUGUUAAUCAGGAAUUCAGCUGGACCCUGCUGUGCCAUCAUGCAUGGCUUCUCCUUGUCACCCCUAAGGGUCCCUACUCAACACCACCUUCCUAAUCCCCACCCAACACUCACACCCUCUCCUCCUCCCUCCCAGAAUCCUCUUCCUUCCCCUUCCCGCAUUUGCACCCAGCUUAACAUAGCAUAGCUGGCAGUGACCCAAAACAGAGGUCCUGGCUGAGUCCUUUGGUUGGCACUUCUCAGUCCAAGCAUGGGCCCUACCACAAGCCUGCCCUCUGGGCAGAGGGUUCACGUUGAUAUUCUUUGCUGGUGCAGACCCUGAGCCCUUCCCCCCCCCCCGCCCCCCAAUCAUGAGUCUUCAGGGCAGGACUGUAGUCAUCAAGGGGGUCCUGCCUGCAGGCCUGUCUUGCUCCUCCCCACAUCCAUGCCGACCCCAAGUCAGACUGGGGUCCGGGCAGGGAAGGUCAGUGUCAUUUGCAGUUUGCUGACUGGAGGCAGCUGGCAGGGCUGCCAGUGCACGUGGUUGUGAGAGCUGCACAGCCCGGCCCUGUGGGCUGGUGGUGAGCCCCCCCAAGGGGCCCCUCCCCCAUCACCUCCAUACCGGGCUUCGGAUCUUCGGGCCUUUUAAUCAUGUGUUGGCGCAGUAGCCCUGGCUGCUUCAGCUAAAUUGAUCCCCGCCGCCUUCAGUGGUCAAGAUAAUCCCCUGAAAUGGCCGGGCUCCUGCCCUCCUCCCACCCUGGUUUUCUCAGUGAGCUGCUUAGAGCUGCUCACUCGACUGUCCCGGGCUGGGCUGGCCCUGGGUGUGGGCCACUUGCCCCAGCUUCACCGUGUCCGGCCAGUGUGACCUGACCCAGACUUUGUGCAGAGCCCCCUCCCUCCUGGUCCCUGUGGUUUACAUGAUGAUCUCUCCUCUGUUUACAGCGGGGUUUGAAGCAGAGUUCUUUGUCAGGAACCCUGCCCAAGGCCCUUCUGUUCAGACAUUCCUGUGCUGAAUAAAGUGUGUUUGACUCCUCCA
Equus caballus (horse) is the source of this 4410-nucleotide RNA transcript. It is a transcript of the gene named ATPase H+ transporting V0 subunit a1, with no coding region annotated. Lineage: Eukaryota; Metazoa; Chordata; Mammalia; Perissodactyla; Equidae. The record is from RefSeq and is a predicted model, not a curated record.